RNAcentral lists this ribosomal RNA (373 nucleotides) under uncultured organism. Its description in RNAcentral is "partial 16S ribosomal RNA". It matches the Rfam family "Bacterial small subunit ribosomal RNA", at positions 527 to 896 of the family's 1533-position model. The record is from RNAcentral.
GUAGGUGGCAAGCGUUAUCCGGAAUUAUUGGGCGUAAAGCGCGCGCAGGCGGUUUCUUAAGUCCGAUGUGAAAGCCCACGGCUCAACCGUGGAGGGUCAUUGGAAACUGGGGAACUUGAGUGCAGAAGAGAAAAGCGGAAUUCCACGUGUAGCGGUGAAAUGCGUAGAGAUGUGGAGGAACACCAGUGGCGAAGGCGGCUUUUUGGUCUGUAACUGACGCUGAGGCGCGAAAGCGUGGGGAGCAAACAGGAUUAGAUACCCUGGUAGUCCACGCCGUAAACGAUGAGUGCUAAGUGUUAGAGGGUUUCCCGCCCCUUUAGUGCUGCAGCUAACGCAUUAAGCACUCCGCCUGGGGAGUACGGUCGCAAGACUG